This 237-nucleotide ribosomal RNA is filed under the name uncultured Staphylococcus sp. Its description in RNAcentral is "partial 16S ribosomal RNA". It matches the Rfam family "Bacterial small subunit ribosomal RNA", at positions 103 to 334 of the family's 1533-position model. The record is from RNAcentral. Lineage: Bacteria; Bacillati; Bacillota; Bacilli; Caryophanales; Staphylococcaceae.
CGGGUGAGUAACACGUGGAUAACCUACCUAUAAGACUGGGAUAACUUCGGGAAACCGGAGCUAAUACCGGAUAAUAUUUUGAACCGCAUGGUUCAAAAGUGAAAGACGGUCUUGCUGUCACUUAUAGAUGGAUCCGCGCUGCAUUAGCUAGUUGGUAAGGUAACGGCUUACUAAGGCAACGAUGCAUAGCCGACCUGAGAGGGUGAUCGGCCACACUGGAACUGAGACACGGUCCAG